This 411-nucleotide unclassified non-coding RNA is filed under the name rhizosphere metagenome. RNAcentral's name for it is "partial ribosomal RNA internal transcribed spacer region". The record is from RNAcentral.
GUAGGUGAACCUGCGGAAGGAUCAUUAACACAAUACUUUCAAUAUCAACCUCUGAGCACUGACAGACGCUGAGAAUGCGGCCGUUAGGAAGGCAAUGGUUCGAGUUAUUCAGUAAAACGUUUCACUCGGCUCUCCUAGCUGCUCUCCCUUCCCUCCUACUUUUCUGUUCUACGGCAUUGAGGAAAGCAACGCGGGUUUACCUCGCUUGUGGAAGAGGCGAUAGCUGACUCCUUAGAUGAUCACAGCCUGCGCCAUGGCUGGCCCUUUUUUUUUUAACACUACUUGAAUCUAUGUACUGAUUUGGGCUUUCCGGAUCGAGAGGAGCAAUCCUUUCUCCGUUCAGUCCUUUUGAUGGAGAAAUCCAUUCAAUUAACUAAAACACAACCCUUAACAGCGGAUAUCUCGGUUCUC